AGGCGAUUAGCUCAGUUGGUUUAGAGCAUCUGUUUUACAAGCAGAAGGUCACUGGUUCGAAUCCAGUAUCGCCUA
This 75-nucleotide transfer RNA is filed under the name Candidatus Bostrichicola ureolyticus. RNAcentral's name for it is "tRNA-Val". It matches the Rfam family "tRNA". Rfam says of the family: Transfer RNA (tRNA) molecules are approximately 80 nucleotides in length. Their secondary structure includes four short double-helical elements and three loops (D, anti-codon, and T loops). Lineage: Bacteria; Pseudomonadati; Bacteroidota; Flavobacteriia. The record is from RNAcentral.